Molecule: unclassified non-coding RNA, 366 nt
Filed under: Ficus cestrifolia
Lineage: Eukaryota; Viridiplantae; Streptophyta; Magnoliopsida; Rosales; Moraceae
Description: partial contains external transcribed spacer and 18S ribosomal RNA
Source: RNAcentral
GAUUGAGCUUGCUCUUCUCGGGCACGACCCUUGGUUCCUGUGUUGCCUUCCCGUCGAAUGGAAAAUCUCGCGAGAUAGCCCCGCCCCUUUCCCCCUUGUGGCUUUGCGGCCGCAAAGUGGACCUCGAAAGCAGUGCCUGUGUCCCGGGCGUAUCCUCUGACUGUUGUCGUGGCUGUCUCGGUCCACAGGACGACUGCUCGUGCUCUCGGAUGUGGAAAAUUAAGCGGACAUGGGGGGUCUCGGCCCCUGGUUGCUCCCAAUCAAGUCCCUCGAUAGGAAUGACUUUCGAGAUACCUCAUUGAUCGCAGGCCGUCUAGGCCCGUGGCAUCAAUGCGGGUCCGAAGUCGAGAAAGGAUGCUACCUGGU